UUCGUAGGGUGCAAGCGUUAAUCGGAAUUACUGGGCGUAAAGCGUGCGCAGGCGGUGCUGUAAGACAGGCGUGAAAUCCCCGGGCUUAACCUGGGAAUGGCGCUUGUGUCUGCAGUGCUGGAGUGCGGCAGAGGGGGAUUGAAUUCCGGGUGUAGCAGUGAAAUGCGUAGAUAUGCGGAGGAACACCGAUGGCGAAGGCAAUCCCCUGGGCCUGUACUGACGCUCAUGCACGAAAGCGUGGGGAGCAAACAUG
RNAcentral lists this ribosomal RNA (253 nucleotides) under uncultured bacterium. Its description in RNAcentral is "partial 16S ribosomal RNA". It matches the Rfam family "Bacterial small subunit ribosomal RNA", at positions 524 to 776 of the family's 1533-position model. The record is from RNAcentral.